GCCUGGGUGGUGGAAUUGGUAGACACAGCAGACUUAAGAUCUGCCGAACUUUGGUUCGUGCCGGUUCAAGUCCGGCUCCGGGUA
RNAcentral lists this transfer RNA (84 nucleotides) under Lingula anatina. It matches the Rfam family "tRNA". Rfam says of the family: Transfer RNA (tRNA) molecules are approximately 80 nucleotides in length. Their secondary structure includes four short double-helical elements and three loops (D, anti-codon, and T loops). The record is from Rfam by way of RNAcentral. Lineage: Eukaryota; Metazoa; Brachiopoda; Lingulata; Lingulida; Lingulidae.